Molecule: non-coding RNA, 64 nt
Organism: Procambarus clarkii (red swamp crayfish)
Lineage: Eukaryota; Metazoa; Arthropoda; Malacostraca; Decapoda; Cambaridae
Source: the annotation of a RefSeq genome assembly
GUUUUUAAGGUGUGUAACAUAUUACAUUUUCGCUGUAAAGUUGAAGAAGUUUCUUCUAAAAAUG